This 253-nucleotide ribosomal RNA is filed under the name uncultured bacterium. RNAcentral's name for it is "partial 16S ribosomal RNA". It matches the Rfam family "Bacterial small subunit ribosomal RNA", at positions 524 to 776 of the family's 1533-position model. The record is from RNAcentral.
UACAGAGGUCCCAAGCGUUGUUCGGAUUCACUGGGCGUAAAGGGUGCGUAGGUGGUUGGGUAAGUCUGAUGUGAAAUCUCCGGGCUCAACCCGGAAAUGGCAUUGGAUACUAUUCGGCUAGAGGUUUGGAGGGGGGACUGGAAUUCUCGGUGUAGCAGUGAAAUGCGUAGAUAUCGAGAGGAACACCAGUGGCGAAGGCGAGUCCCUGGACAACUCCUGACACUGAGGCACGAAAGCUAGGGGAGCAAACAGG